RNAcentral lists this ribosomal RNA (499 nucleotides) under uncultured bacterium. Its description in RNAcentral is "partial 16S ribosomal RNA". It matches the Rfam family "Bacterial small subunit ribosomal RNA", at positions 28 to 507 of the family's 1533-position model. The record is from RNAcentral.
GACGAACGCUGGCGGCGUGCUUAACACAUGCAAGUCGAACGGGCCUGUCUUCUUUUUUGGGGGUGGGUUGAGUGGCGAACGGGUGAGUAUCACGUGAGUAACCUGCCCUUCGGUCCUGGAUAACCGCUUGAAAGGGCGGCUAAUACGGGGUGGUCCGGUUGGUCCGCAUGGGCUGGUCGGGAUAGAUUCACUGUUUUUGGUGUUUCGGCGGGGGAUGGGCUCGCGGCCUAUCAGCUUGAUGGUGGGGUGAUGGCCUACCAAGGCGGUGACGGGUAGCCGGCCUGAGAGGGUGGGCGGCCACACUGGGACUGAGAUACGGCCCAGACUCCUGCGGGAGGCAGCAGUGGGGGGUAUUGCACAAUGGGCGGAAGCCUGAUGCAGCGACGUCGCGUGAGGGAGGGAGGCCUUCGGGUUGUGAACCUCUGUUUCCGGUGGUGAAGGCCCUGUCCGUGUGGUGGGGUUGACGGUAGCCGGGGAUGAAGCGCCGGCUAACUACGUG